Molecule: ribosomal RNA, 1688 nt
Filed under: Pellonula leonensis (smalltoothed pellonula)
Lineage: Eukaryota; Metazoa; Chordata; Actinopteri; Clupeiformes; Clupeidae
Description: 16S rRNA
Rfam family: Bacterial large subunit ribosomal RNA (bases 96-1609)
Source: RNAcentral
ACUAAACAGCUAGCUCAAAACACUAAAAGUAAAAUUAACAACAUAACAAAACCACCAUAAACUAACAACAAUUACUAAACCAUUCGACCACCCCAGUACGGGCGACAGAAAAGGACUAUGAAGCCAUAGACAAAGUACCGCAAGGGAAAGCUGAAAGAGAGCUGAAAAAGCGCACUCAAGUAAAUAAAAGCAGAGACUAAAACUCGUACCUUUUGCAUCAUGAUCUAGCCAGUACCCCCAAGCAAAGAGCCCUCUAGUUUGAAACCCCGAAACCCGGACGAGCUACUCCGGGACAGCCUAUUAUAGGGCCAACCCGUCUCUGUGGCAAAAGAGUGGGAAGAUCCCCGAGUAGAGGUGAAAGACCUACCGAGUCAGGUUAUAGCUGGUUGCUCAAGAAAUGAAUAGAAGUUCAGCCCCAUAAUACCCUUAACCAAAAUAGUCCUACUUAAAUUAGGCAUGAGGAUAACCAUGGGAGUUAGUCAAAGGAGGUACAGCUCCCUUAACCAAGGACACAACCUUCACAGGAGGCUAAGAAAUACAAUCAAUUAAAGGCCACAGGUUUCGGUGGGCCUAAAAGCAGCCAUCCGCAUAGAAAGCGUUAAAGCUCAAACCACAAUUUAAGCCUAUUAUAACAUUAAAUCACCAACAACGCCCCUAAUUUAUACCGAGCCCUUCUAUGCCCCCAUAGAAGAGACCCUGCUAGAACGAGUAAUAAGAAGAACGAACUUCUCCCUGCACAUGUGUAAGUCGAAUCGGACCCACCAUCGACAAUUAACGAACCCAACAAAAGAGGAAAAUGCAUAACUGCCCAAUAAAGCCAAGAAAACCACGCAAAACCCAAUCGUUACCCCCACACAGGAGUGCUUAGUUAAAGGGAAAGACUUAAAGAAUAAAAAGGAACUCGGCAAACCCAAACCCCGCCUGUUUACCAAAAACAUCGCCUCCUGCCCACAACAAUAUAGGAGGUCCCGCCUGCCCUGUGACCAAAAGUUUAACGGCCGCGGUAUUUUAACCGUGCAAAGGUAGCGCAAUCAAUUGUCUUUUAAAUGGAGACCUGUAUGAAUGGCAUAACGAGGGUUUAACUGUCUCUUUUUUCCAGUCAAUGAAACUGAUCUGCCCGUGCAGAAGCGGGCAUAUUAACACAAGACGAGAAGACCCUAUGGAGCUUUAGACGCCCACCAACUAUGAAAAGAGACCAGAUUAAUGGAAGCCCAAACAACAUAGCCCUGGCACAAACGUCUUCGGUUGGGGCGACCACGGGGGAAAAUAAAGCCCCCAAGAGGACAGGGGAACACCCUAGAACCAAGAGUUACAGCUCUAAGUCACAAAACAUUUGACCGAUUAAUGAUCCGGCCCACGCCGAUCAACGAACCAAGUUACCCUAGGGAUAACAGCGCAAUCCCCUCCCAGAGUCCAUAUCGACGAGGGGGUUUACGACCUCGAUGUUGGAUCAGGACAUCCUAAUGGUGCAGCCGCUAUUAAGGGUUCGUUUGUUCAACGAUUAAAGUCCUACGUGAUCUGAGUUCAGACCGGAGUAAUCCAGGUCAGUUUCUAUCUGUGAUGCCACCCUUCCUAGUACGAAAGGACCGGAAUGAUGAGGCCCAUGCUGAAAGCACGCCUCCCCCCGACCUGCUGAAAUCAACUAAAACAGACAAAGGGGGGCCACACCCCAGCCUGAGAAAAAGGCA